AANCUUGGUUCACCUGGAACUGCAUUGUACAAGAAAGAAGUCCUCAAGCAUCCUGUUGUUGUUACUACAGCAGAAAAAUUGGGUAAAACUCCUGCUCAGGUUGCUCUUCGAUGGGGCUUGCAGAUGGGCCAUAGUGUAAUUCCCAAGAGCACACAUGAAUCAAGGAUCAAAGAGAACUUUGAUGUUUUCAAUUGGUCCAUACCUGAUGACUUGUUUGCUAAGUUCUCCGAAAUUGAGCAGGCAAGUUAUUUUCAUUUUCAUUAAAUUCCUUGAGAUUUUAUGGGUAUAUUUCUUCUAAUGGGCAUACGAGUAAUGCAAUAAUUUAUUUUGCAAAUAGUUAGAUAUUAGAGACAGUAUUAAUUAGCAAUUUUUUUAUUCGUCCCCAUCACAUGAAUCCCCUACAGUUUUUGCCAUUAAAUAUAUGUACUACAACUAAUAAGUCAUAUUUGCAAGGCAUGCUUAGUAGGCAAUAUAAGACCGCAGUGGACGCUAGAAAAGAUAUAUUUUAAUUCAAUUACUAAACAUGCCAAAGUGUAUGCUGCAUCACCAACAAUUGAGGUUCUGAUGUAAAAAUUGCCCAGAUAGCUGACAUUUAGAUCCAUUUUUUUGCUCAAAAUUUUAUUUUGAUAACUAAGGCAUUUUCUUUCUACAUCUCAUAAGAAAUGCUUUUUCUACUUGCAGGAAAGACAGAUUACAGGUAACUUUUUUGUCCAUGAGACGUUCGGCUCAUACAGAACCGUUGAAGAUAUAUGGGAUGGUGAGCUUUGAUCUUGCUGUUUGAUGAUAAAAAUUUGGGACGGAUUGGCUAAUAAAUAUUACUGUCAUAGUCUAUUUACAAUAUUAUGAACUCCAAAUAAAUUUGCUGGAUGCUCUGGCAUGGUUUCUAGUUAUCGUGUGUAAUUUCAUACUGGAAGUUGUCAUGCUUCUUUCGAAACUUUGAAGCUUGUCUUGAUGUUUACGGAGUUUGAAGUUUGAACUAUUUUGUGAAUUUUCAUUCAUUCUAUGGUGCCAAAGCUUAAGCAAUGUUUUUUUUUUUUUUUUUUUUUUUUCAAUUCAUUAUUGAUGAAUAGCAUUCCUUGUGCUAAAGAAAACUUAUAUAGAGACGCGUACAC
RNAcentral lists this long non-coding RNA (1112 nucleotides) under Olea europaea subsp. europaea. The record is from RNAcentral. Lineage: Eukaryota; Viridiplantae; Streptophyta; Magnoliopsida; Lamiales; Oleaceae.